RNAcentral lists this ribosomal RNA (305 nucleotides) under uncultured bacterium. RNAcentral's name for it is "bacterial SSU rRNA". It matches the Rfam family "Bacterial small subunit ribosomal RNA", at positions 333 to 652 of the family's 1533-position model. The record is from RNAcentral.
CGUUUCCUACGGGAGGCAGCAGUGGGGAAUAUUGCACAAUGGGGGGAACCCUGAUGCAGCGACGCCGCGUGAGUGAAGAAGUAUUUCGGUAUGUAAAGCUCUAUCAGCAGGGAAGAAAGAAAUGACGGUACCUGACUAAGAAGCCCCGGCUAACUACGUGCCAGCAGCCGCGGUAAUACGUAGGGGGCGAGCGUUAUCCGGAUUUACUGGGUGUAAAGGGAGCGUAGACGGUUACGCAAGUCUGGAGUGAAAGGCGGGGGCCCAACCCCCGGACUGCUUUGGAAACUGUAUAACUGGAGGGCAGG